Long non-coding RNA from Dromaius novaehollandiae (emu), 3881 nucleotides. RefSeq lists it as uncharacterized. Lineage: Eukaryota; Metazoa; Chordata; Aves; Casuariiformes; Dromaiidae. The record is from RefSeq and is a predicted model, not a curated record. The transcript is spliced from 6 exons.
CCUGACGUACAAAGUGGAGCACCCAAACUGCCUGAUCCUGCGUGCUACCUCUGAGAAUGAUCGUUUGCAUGCUAUGGAGCUUUUUCUCUCUGGAAGCUGCAGGAUAUGACCCCUGGAAGUAACAUCAUCCACUUGGUUGCAGUCCGAUUUUUCUAGCUCUUUGGUGGGUUUUCUACCUUUGAUUGCAUCAACAGGAAGAAAGCUGUCAACUCCUUUAGUUUAUAGCAUGACUGUGGAAGUUCAGGAAGGUUCCUAGAUAGCACGUUGUCCUCUUUUUUACUGUAAUAUUUGGACAAACCUUUUAGUAGAUCCUGGAGAGGAUGAGAAGAGAUGCUUUACAAACAGCCAGGACUCAGAAUGGUGUGUGUUACAGGGUCUCACACACACUGGCUGUACCGUGCCCUCAUGUGCUGUGUUGCUGAGUGGGCAGACAAGGAUUUUGGAAAGGAAGUGACAUCUGGGGUCAGCACUUAAUGAAAAUGAAAUAUGCUGUGGCAGCUUGAAGAUACCACAUAUGUAAAAUGCUAUGCCUUUAUUGUCCUGUGGGCAUAUGCCAUGUGUCUCCACAGUUUGGUGAGGUACCGAGGUAAUUGCCUUAAAACUCCUUGCUACACAGGGUAUUGCAGGAUGGUAGCACACACACCAAGUGAUGGGAAGCAGAGGGGUGCACUGACUGGUGUUAAAGCUUCAGUGCCGCUGACUUAUCUAUAAAUAACUGCUGUCUGUUGUAAUUGGUCACAUCACAGUCCAUGGUGAUCUUUUAUAUUAUUGCUGGCUGCUGGAAAACUCCCGGAGGCAUAAAAUAGAUACCAGGAAGAUCCUGCAUCCAGCAGUGUGUUUCCCCAUGCGGCGCAAUAUGGUAAAACAGAAACAGUGUUUACAAGAAGAUGAUGAAGAAUUGUCUGUAGCAGAAAGGAUGAAAAAAGAGAUUGCAUUUCUGAAAUGAUAGCAGCAGGCCAUCUCUUAUGCAGGAUAUUGCUGGGUCUUGUGCAAAGAAAAUCUUCAUAGGGUUUCUAGUGGUACACUGAAUGGGUAUUAUUUGCCUCUGACUUACAUAUGGCUAUUUUUCAGCUCUUCACAGAAUGAUGAUACCUUGCAAGAAAUAGAUAGCUAGAGAAAGAGAAGUCAUUUGUUGGCUAAUGUGAGAUGUGUGGGGGUGAAAUACAUAGUAUUCUCUAUUCUGAAGGAUCCAGAACACUUCACAGACCAAGAAUGACAGAUACUACAUGCCAUUAAAUGCAGUCAGCAUUGGGGUGAACCACAAAACUGAGGUGAAGCUGCACAGCACUAGGAGUCAAGAGUUUUAUUUAGGGAGGGCAGAAAAACACUGGAUUAGACAUGCAGGAAGGGAUCUGGGUGUAAAGGAUGGAAUUGCCAAGCUUUGCUCAGUAGAGAGCAUUUGAAAUCCUAACUCUUUUGAGAGUUGAGAGCUGUACUAACUGUAGAGUUCUGGUGGUUCUAAGGUUACUAUAUGAGUGGGUUUUUUUUAAUUAGUAUUUUUAAAAUCCACACUUAAUUUCUACCUCCAUUUUAAGCUGCCUUUGUCCCGCUACAAUAUACAGUGCAAUCCACUACAUGCAUUAGAGAAUGCAUGCUUCACUGGCCUAAUAAAAACUUUGCUCAUGUUGGCAAAGAAUUUAUUAGAACUGAAAUCUUUCCAGCACUACACAAAUGCUGGCAUAGAGAUCAGGACUGUGGAGGGCCCUGUCAACAGCCUCUCAAUUGACUUUUACUGACUGAUGUCUGAAGAUUAGGUGGUAUUGUAGGGCAUUUAAUUUAACAAAGGAUUGCUGUGAGUUCUUAGCUUCUACGCUGGGUAUCAGCUAUCAGUAGGAAUUCUUUGGUUCCAGCAAUUUGGUUGUGAUUGGAAGGAGCAUUGAAAGUCCACAUAGCUUUUGGUUAGAAACAUAUGCCAGGACAGUGUCAAUGUGACAGAAGUGGGGUAAAAAGUCCACAAGGAAGAGAGCAGCAGGAUGCCUUCUGUGGCCUCAGACAGUCACACCAAGUGAUUCCUGGAGCCUUGUUUGAAAGCAGGUUAUAUUGCUAGCUGUAUAAAGACAGAAACUGUACAAAAGCCACUGCUCACCUACGAAAAAGUUUAGGCUAUUCUGGCAUGCAUUUGCUCAUUCAGGAGAAAAUUACCCUGCUGUGGCUGGAAAGGGUGCUUAGCUGUAGUAAGGACAUUACCUGCUCAAUAUACUGAUUUCUGUAAAGCAAUGAAGUAUCUGGCCCUGAUCCAGCAGAGCACUCUAAUAACAUGAGGCUAGUCUAAGAUGAAUGCUUGUUGAUCUUCAGCCUCAGCGUCCGCCCUUCUAUAUGACGGUGUCAGUGGAUGAAGAUGUAUGCCCAGGGCCAAAUACAGACCACCUGCUUUUGUGCUGAACUCUCCUUGGCUUCUUCCAGCCAGGAUCCAAUAACUCUGUAUAUAGUGGGUGCUCUGAAUUGUUCACUGUGCUCAUGAAGUUAAAUGCCUGUAUUUAUCUUAGGUUCCAUCAUAAGCAGCCUGCAUAUGGUCUAAUGUAUAUGGUUUGGUCUUAAAAUACUGCAACAACAAUGUAGUAAUGAUUAAUUUAUAGCAAUUACCUCUCAGCCAGUAAAAAAAAAAAAAAAAGAAAAGAAACAAAUUGUGAGUAUAAUUAGCAAUUGAUAGAACACACUGGAGAAAUUAGAUGAAGAACUUCAGAAACAUCUGAAAAUCCAGAUGAAGACUUACAGAGGUUUGCCUUCAUUUGAAGACUGCGUAAGUAAGAAUUCAGCACUGAGAUUCCUCAAAUUCAGAAGGGAACAAAACUGAGAAAAGUCAGUAUCUGGUCGGAAAUGGUAAAGUUAGCAACCUGCUAGAAGGAGGAAAGCUCUGGAACUGUAAAAUUCUAGCCAAAAACAAUGCUGCAGUUGAGGAAAUGAGCUCAUCUGAAGUAGAUCCUGAGAUCCAGGAGUAAACCUGAGUAAUCAGGUUGUACUGGCAUAAGACAACAACAAAACAAAAACUAUGUUUGGAGAAGACUACAGUAUUCUGCAAACUGUGGUGGCAAAGCUUUCCUCAGCACCCAUCUUUGAGGACUGUGUGCCAGAACAGAGCCCCUCCAAUCUCCUGAAGUCAAACUUGGCUUUCCAGGCUAAUCCCCGCUGCUCUGGCACCUUGCAUAAAGAUAAAGGAGGACUUCUUAAAGCCCGGAAAAAUCAAGUUCUCCUUGGGGCAUGCUCUGAGCAUGGCAGUGUCACCGUGUGCAGGACGACCAGUCCCUAGAUGUGCAUGACAAUACCGCUGUUACACACCACAGGGAAGAGAGCGACUCUGCGGCGAAACGUGGUGAUGCUUCAUGUGCGGGAGGACGGAGGCUGAGCCUGUCAGCAUCUCCUGGAGGCCUUUCAGUUGUGCAGUGGCAUCCAGCCAGUCCUCCCUCAUGAUGAAGAAUCAAUCUGCAAGGUAUUGAUUAACCCUUAGGCUCUGCCUUGGAGAGGAGACCACCCAUGAAAACAGCUGACAUGCAAAAACCCACAAGGUCAGCCUUGAAGACUCAAAGAGAAAUCUGCCUGCUCUGAAUAUUGCCUGAGGAUUUAGAAAGGUCUUUCUUGGAAACAGAAGACAGAGAUGAAACGACCAUCAGUAAAGCAUAGAACUCUGGGAUGACAGGUCGCUUGCCUUUCUACCAGGAGAGUGGUGUGCUGUACACAGCAUGCUGCACACGGGUGGAGGAGGAUAAAGAAUGACAUGCUAGCCUAAUACACUUAAAAAUCCUGCUAUCUCUGUGAUGGGCCUUAUUAGCGCUCUGAGGUGCUGGCAAGAGCUGGAUGGCAGUAGCAUGUGCUGCUCUGCUGUGCUAGAGAUCUUGGCUUGUGGAGAAGGAGUCAUCGGAGCUGACCUUGGGAUAAAUCUGCUG